Molecule: transfer RNA, 88 nt
Filed under: Pseudopedobacter sp.
Lineage: Bacteria; Pseudomonadati; Bacteroidota; Sphingobacteriia; Sphingobacteriales; Sphingobacteriaceae
Description: tRNA-Ser
Rfam family: tRNA
About the family: Transfer RNA (tRNA) molecules are approximately 80 nucleotides in length. Their secondary structure includes four short double-helical elements and three loops (D, anti-codon, and T loops).
Source: RNAcentral
GGAGAGGUGUCCGAGUGGUUGAAGGAGCACGCCUGGAAAGCGUGUAUGGUGCAAGCUAUCGUGAGUUCGAAUCUCAUCCUCUCCGCCA